UACGUAGGUCGCAAGCGUUGUCCGGAUUUACUGGGCGUAAAGAGCGCGCAGGCGGCUGGUCAAGUCGGAUGUGAAAUCCCCAGGCUUAACCUGGGAACUGCAUCCGAUACUGGAUGGCUUGAAUUCGGGAGAGGGAUGCAGAAUUCCAGGUGUAGCGGUGAAAUGCGUAGAUAUCUGGAGGAAUACCGGUGGCGAAGGCGGCAUCCUGGACCGACAUUGACGCUGAGGAGCGAAAGCUAGGGGAGCAAACGGG
Molecule: ribosomal RNA, 253 nt
Filed under: uncultured bacterium
Lineage: Bacteria
Description: partial 16S ribosomal RNA
Rfam family: Bacterial small subunit ribosomal RNA
Source: RNAcentral